RNAcentral lists this ribosomal RNA (253 nucleotides) under uncultured bacterium. RNAcentral describes it as "partial 16S ribosomal RNA". It matches the Rfam family "Bacterial small subunit ribosomal RNA", at positions 524 to 776 of the family's 1533-position model. The record is from RNAcentral.
AACGUAGGAGCCUAGCGUUAUCCGAAUUUACUGGGCGUAAAGCGCGUGCAGGCGGUUCGGUAAGUUGGGUGUGAAAUCUCCUGGCUCAACUGGGAGAGGUCGCUCAAUACUGUCGGACUUGAGGUUGGUAGAGGGAGGUGGAAUUCCCGGUGUAGUGGUGAAAUGCGUAGAUAUCGGGAGGAAUACCAGUGGCGAAGGCGGCCUCCUGGACCAUACCUGACGCUCAGACGCGAAAGCUAGGGGAGCAAACGGG